Triticum aestivum (bread wheat) is the source of this 135-nucleotide non-coding RNA. Lineage: Eukaryota; Viridiplantae; Streptophyta; Magnoliopsida; Poales; Poaceae. The record is from Rfam.
AUAGUACUCCCUCUGUCCGGAAAUACUUGUCAUCAAAAUGGAUAAAAGAGGAUGUAUCUUGAUGUAUUUUAGUUCUAGAUACAUUUCCUUUUAUCCAUUUUGAUGACAAGUAUUUUCGGACGGAGGGAGUACUCC